This 1615-nucleotide long non-coding RNA is filed under the name Mus pahari (shrew mouse). RNAcentral's name for it is "lncRNA (MGP_PahariEiJ_G0006079.1)". Lineage: Eukaryota; Metazoa; Chordata; Mammalia; Rodentia; Muridae. The record is from RNAcentral.
GUCGGCGGGAACUAAUCCUAGUCACACUGCUACACAAAUGUCCAGCGACUUCACAUCAGUCCUGCUGGUCUCUGCAAGCUUCCAGGCUGGGUCUGCUGCUGCUGCCUGGGCUGCUGCCACCACUCACACUGCUUGAAACGGGGAAGGCGUGGGACUUCUGCACUACCUGAGGGCUGCAAACGUGAUGGCUAUGUCUGGAUUGCCCGCAUGUCAGCCAGCAUAGAGAGUAGGAUGCUAUACAGCCUGGAGCUCAUGCAGGUCCUGCUCCGGACACACUGCCCAACUGCGCGAUAACCCUGACUCUUAACAACAAGCUAUCUGAGAUGGAGACUGGUUCAUAUUUUCGAUCAAGUCUCCACGAAAGACUGAUGUCUGUGAUUCAUGCUGCUCUCCCCCUCCCCGCCACACAGAGGUCCUGCUGAUAUCCGUGGCCUGUGCUGCCACUGGAAGCCAAUGUUGAGGUCCGUGGUCCGGAGACCAGGUUGAUGUGAGAAAACAGGUUGAUGUCUCUGGUCCACGUUGCUACUAGAGAGCAUGAACUGUGCUGGGGCUAGAGAGGUUGAUGUCUGUGAUCUGUAUUGCUGCCGGCUACUACGGGCAAGAAAGCUUCUUCGGUGGUGGCAUUGAUGACUGCAGACUCAUACCUGAGAGUGAGAGACAUAGAUGGCUUCUCAUUCUUUGCCAACCUCCGCUCACCCCCUAUCCUAGAAAAGAAACAGUUCAGGCAUGAAGCUCACAGUUGAUGGUUUCUGGGGGUUGGGCCAAGGGGGAACCAACACAGAGGAAUUGAUUUUCUUUAAAGGGCCACGGGAAGUUGAACCAUGUUCAAUGAAUAUAUGGGCAACCCAAACUGAACUUGGUAUUGGUGUUUUUGUUUUUGUUUUUUGAGGGAAGGCUGGAUCUGGAGGAGGGAAGGCAGAUGUCAUGGGGUAAAUUGUAUGAAAUUCUGAAAUAAUGAAUAAAAAUAUUACGUUAGGGAAAAAUAAAAUUCAUUAGAAAUCCAGGAGAUGAACGAUGGUGACAGAGGGUUCAUGUUUACCUGUGAGACUCAAGGACAUUUUCCCAUCGUUCAGGAAAUUGUGCAUUUUUAAUGUUUCAUUUUAAUGUGUGGCUUCUCAGAGGGGACAUCUGGCAACAGGAAGUAAAAGCCUCAGAAGGUUCAGUGCUUUCUCUAUUGGAAUUUCCAUAAUUAAGAAGUAAACAUUAUACUUUAUAAUAGACAAAAAGCUGGAAAGCAUCCAAAUGUUCAGUGAUGUACCAUUGACUGAGUUAUUGCAUAUUCAUUAGUAAAAUGUGUGCAGAAAUUAAACGCCAUGUUUUCAAAAAACAAAUUUCACAAUGUUCACACCAUAUUGUUGAAUGAAAAGCAGCUGACUAUACAACUGUGCAUAGUAUGAGCUCAAAGGAUGCACAUAUAUCCAUAUAUUUCGGGGUUGUUGAACAUAAAAUAAUUAGUGGUGGCUAUUUCUGUGUUCUUUGAAAAAUCUCUAAAUUUCGUGCUGUGUUGUGUGCCGUAAGAUAUGGAUUGUAUGUACCUGUUGACUAUAAAAUACCCAAAGCUACAUUGUUAUACUACACAUCACCUUUGUGGUUACUAGUAAAAGCAGUGAUUGCU